GGGGAAUAUUGGGCAAUGGGCGAAAGCCUGACCCAGCAACGCCGCGUGAAGGAAGAAGGCCCUCGGGUUGUAAACUUCUUUUAUCAGGGACGAAACAAAUGACGGUACCUGAUGAAUAAGCACCGGCUAACUCCGUGCCAGCAGCCGCGGUAAUACGGAGGGUGCAAGCGUUAAUCGGAAUUACUGGGCGUAAAGCGCACGUAGGCUGCUUUGUAAGUCAGGGGUGAAAUCCCACGGCUCAACCGUGGAACUGCCUUUGAUACUGCUUAGCUUGAAUCCGGGAGAGGGUGGCGGAAUUCCAGGUGUAGGAGUGAAAUCCGUAGAUAUCUGGAGGAACAUCAGUGGCGAAGGCGGCCACCUGGACCGGUAUUGACGCUGAGGUGCGAAAGCGUGGGGAGCAAACA
This 404-nucleotide ribosomal RNA is filed under the name uncultured Pseudomonadota bacterium. RNAcentral's name for it is "bacterial SSU rRNA". It matches the Rfam family "Bacterial small subunit ribosomal RNA", at positions 356 to 774 of the family's 1533-position model. The record is from RNAcentral. Lineage: Bacteria; Pseudomonadati; Pseudomonadota.